AGAGUUUGAUCCUGGCUCAGAACGAACGCUGGCGGCGCGCCUAAUACAUGCAAGUCGAGCGAGAAGGUGUAGCAAUACACUUGUAAAGCGGCGAACGGGUGAGGAAUGCAUGGGUAACCUACCCUCGAGUGGGGAAUAACUAGCCGAAAGGUUAGCUAAUACCGCAUACGUUUCCGGAACUUCGGUUUCGGAAAGAAAGCAAUACCGUGGGUAUUGCGCUCCUGGAUGGGCUCAUGUCCUAUCAGCUUGUUGGUGAGGUAACGGCUCACCAAGGCUUCGACGGGUAGCUGGUCUGAGAGGACGAUCAGCCACACUGGCACUGCGACACGGGCCAGACUCCUACGGGAGGCAGCAGUAAGGAAUAUUGCGCAAUGGACGAAAGUCUGACGCAGCGACGCCGCGUGGGGGAUGAAGGUCUUCGGAUUGUAAACCCCUUUCGGGAGGGAAGAUGGAGUGGGUAACCACUUGGACGGUACCUCCAGAAGCAGCCACGGCUAACUUCGUGCCAGCAGCCGCGGUAAUACGAAGGUGGCAAGCGUUGUUCGGAUUCACUGGGCGUACAGGGAGCGUAGGCGGUUGGGUAAGCCCUCCGUGAAAUCUCCGGGCCUAACCCGGAAAGUGCAGAGGGGACUGCUCAGCUAGAGGAUGGGAGAGGAGCGCGGAAUUCCCGGUGUAGCGGUGAAAUGCGUAAAGAUCGGGAGGAAGGCCGGUGGCGAAAGCGGCGCUCUGGAACAUUUCUGACGCUGAGGCUCGAAAGCGUGGGGAGCAAACAGGAUUA
RNAcentral lists this ribosomal RNA (778 nucleotides) under uncultured bacterium. RNAcentral describes it as "bacterial SSU rRNA". It matches the Rfam family "Bacterial small subunit ribosomal RNA", at positions 8 to 780 of the family's 1533-position model. The record is from RNAcentral.